RNAcentral lists this long non-coding RNA (1993 nucleotides) under Malus domestica (apple). Its description in RNAcentral is "long non-coding RNA (MDOM_LNC012301)". The record is from RNAcentral. Lineage: Eukaryota; Viridiplantae; Streptophyta; Magnoliopsida; Rosales; Rosaceae.
GGUAGGUAAUAGGGAAUUGGGAGAUGAGGUGUGCGAAUCAAGAGUGUUGAGCAAUUCUCGGUAUGUUAGAGAGUCAGUCUUGGCUGUCAACUUCCGCAACUUGGGGGCUCUUUGGCUAUACUGAUAUCGAUGACAGAUACCUCUUAUAUGGGUGGCCCGUGGCCUUCAAGCUAGCUUUUCUACUGUCAUUUGUUUAUGGAAAUGGGGUGGCUUCAGAAAAAUGGAGGACAAAGCUAGAAUUUUAAAAGCACAUUUUAGAUAUGGGGUGUAUUCAUAAAGAUGUGGGGUGUUAAUAAAACAACAUUUUUUUAUUAACUUUUGCAUGAAUAUACACUACAUAAAGUAAUUGUCUAACAAAAGGUUGGUACGUACCAGUUUGAUAAUAACAAUGGACUAGGAGAAAUUAUAUUAAUUAGAAAGAAAAUGACUGUAAUUUAAGAUAAGUAGUAUACACUUUGAUUAACUAAUUAUAGGAUUUAAUGAUUAUAUAAUUGUGGUUAGAAAAUGUGACACCACAUCAAUAGCAAACAAAAGCAAGGAAAUUAGAGUACUUAUCUCAUGACAUUUCGAGUGUCAUAACUCACAAACGUGCUACCUAUCUGCAUGAUUUGGACGCUGCCCCACUUAAAUGCAACAACAAGAUAUAGAUAUUUAUCAGCCAUAAAAUGUGCCUUUUUCUUUCAAACACAUGAUAGUAUAUAUCCGCAACAAGUCACAAGACUUAAAGUUAUCCAGAAAGUUAUCCAGAGUAUUGUAUCUAAUUGAGAUCUUGCGUUUGAUCUCUCUGAUCCCAAAUAUUGCUUUAAAUCGGAUAACACUAUGAUAAAAAUAUGGCUUUUUAGCUAAAAUAGUUCAUAAGAUUGACAUAACUUCUCACUUUGAUCUCUGAAAUUUGAAAUUGAUAGAAGUGGCCCCUGAGUUUAUCCACUAUCAAUCAUUUUGGUCAAUUUGUGAAAAAUCUCUAUUAAAUAAGGAUAAAAUGACAAAGAUACCAUCAUUUUUUUGUCAAAUCAUUUUUGGCUUGUUUAUUAAAUUGAGGGUAUUUUUGUCAUUUUGGUCCAUAAUAAAAAUUUUCACCAAAGGACCAUAACGAUUUACGGUGGACAAAAUCAAGGAUCAUUUGUAUCGAUUUUAAAUUUCAGGACAAAAGUGAGGAGUUAUGCCAAUCCGAGAGACCAUUUUAACUAAAAAGCCUAAAUAUAUUAUGAUAGUAUUUAAAUUCAAGAGGUUUGGCUAUAAUGAUAUGUACUACUUAGUGGUACGAAUUUUUUGCAAGAUUUAACUUCUGCAAAAAUUCAUUAGAUGCUUAUAUGUAAAAUUUAAUUAUUGACUUUUUGGAUCACUUAAUGAUUCGAACAAAAAAAAUUGAAACUUAAGAUUAUAUUAGUACUUAAUCUCUACUGGACCACACCAGCAUUACCCAUUGGAGCUAGAACUCAUGGACAUUAAUUUUUCUUUGUUUGCUUUUUAAACAAUUAGCGUGUUAGGAGGUAAUCAAAUCUUUAACUACUUAUAGCUAAACAAACAUCCUGAUUUAUCUUAGUGUCUCUCCAAGACUGCAAGAUUUAAGUUCCAAUUGGAGUUUAACAAACCCAAGUAAUUACUUUUAGCCGAUCCAAACUUUUAUCUUAUGUGAUAACCAGAACUGGAACAGGUGACUAUUGGGCAUUGGAAAAGAACAAUUAAAUUAAGGCCAAGUUGUUACUAGUGGAUAACCAUAACCAGUAAUCUAGCAUAUCCCAAUACCCAAGUUGCACCACUAAGCAGUGUUUUGGUGUUAAAAAAGCAGCACUUGAUAGAAUAAAAGAGGGUUCCGAUCGUUGUUUUUUUUUGCCUGUAGAUUUGUGUAUGGCUUAAAGCUGGGAGCCCUAGACAAAACAAUAAAGCCUAGGAUGUAAUCUUGUAGAACUUGAUCAUGGCAGAAGAUUUAUAUUUGCCCAAAAUCUAUUACUUUAAAAUUUAAUGCCUACCCCCCUUUUCUAUAUGAUAUAUA